Molecule: long non-coding RNA, 1055 nt
Organism: Hippocampus comes (tiger tail seahorse)
Lineage: Eukaryota; Metazoa; Chordata; Actinopteri; Syngnathiformes; Syngnathidae
Exons: 2
Source: RefSeq, a predicted model, not a curated record
UCAGACUUCACUGAAUCACACUUCUUUUCACCAGUGAUGCUUUGCAAGUGUUUCCAUAAAUAACCAGUAUCCAACAGGAUGUCAAUUUAUUGAGGCCAAAUCGUAGGUGGUUCCCGAAACUCAUCGAGCUCUUCCACUAACAAUUUUGAAUGUAACCAUUAUAUUGUGUCUGUCUUCUUGGGUCUUUCAGACAUCAGCGAAAAUGCUUGUCCUGAUCGGCUGAAUGCAGAGCCCUCUCUUAAGAAGGAGGAACAGGAAAAAGAGGUCUCCCGCUUUAAAGAGGAAGAGGAGCAGCAGCCCCCCUACAUCAAAAAAGUGAAGGAGGAGCCGGAGCAUCCUCGUGUGAAAGAGGAGGGCGAUAAGCCCCCCUACAUCAAAGAGGAGGAGGAUAUCGGCAAGUGGCCAUCACCUGGUGUCCCUUUGAAAAGAAAAGAUGAAGAUCAAAGUGAUGUCAGCAGAUGGGGGGAGCCUCUAAGCAGCAGCUUCAAACACACUGACAUCAGCGAAGAUGUUUGUCCCGACCGGCUGGGUGCAGAGCCCUCUGAUAUUAAAGAGGAAGAGGAGAAAAAAAGAGGUCUCCUACUUUAAAGAGGAAGAGGAGCAGCAGGCCCCUGACAUUAAAAAAAAGGAGGAGCAAGAGCACCCUUGCAUGAAAGUUCGUGACAACACAUCAUCAAGCAUUGAUGAUGAUGAUGAGUUGGAGGAGAAGGAUGAAGAAUCUGAUGGUGAUCUGACAUGUCACACUGACAAUAAACCCUGGAACUGUUCUCGGUGUGGGAAGACGUUUCCUUGGAGGAGUUUUUUUGAAAAGACAUAUGAGAACUCACACUGGUGAGAAUCCUUUUUCUUGUUCAAUUUGUGGCCUAAGAUUCUCUCUGAAGGCAAGCGUAAAAACACACACGAGAAUACACACAUUUGAGAAACCUUUUGCCUGUUCAUUGUGUGAUCAAAGCUUCUCCCGGAAGGAAACAUUAAAAAGUCAUACAAGAACCUACACGGGUGCGAAACCUUUUGCCUGCACAGUUUGUGGACAAAGAUUCUCUGAAAAGGGAUCC